This is a long non-coding RNA of Helianthus annuus (common sunflower), 2453 nucleotides long. RefSeq lists it as uncharacterized. The record is from RefSeq and is a predicted model, not a curated record. The transcript is spliced from 3 exons. NCBI's taxonomy places the organism in Eukaryota, Viridiplantae, Streptophyta, Magnoliopsida, Asterales, Asteraceae.
UGUUGUGAAGGAAAUAAAGGACCUGGGAGUUAAAUGUAGCGCAUCUGGUUUUUGCAAAGAUUACUAAAUGGGUCGUUUGACUACAGGAAUGGUCGUUUGACUAGACAUACAUGGUUAGAGGACUCGUGCUCGACAAAAUAAGAGGAAAUAUACUGAAGGUCGUGUUUGUCAAAUACCAAACUGAAGUGUUUACUGUAGCAUAUUUUUAGUUAAUCACAUUUUUUUAUUUUAUUUUUUAUUUGUGUAUCGUUCUCUCUUCGAGAUGGACAGGUAAGUGUGGUGAAGUGUGGUGAAGGAAAUAAAGGUGCUGGGAGUUAAAUGUAACGCAGUUAGUUUUUGCAGAGAUUACUAAAUGGGUCGUUGACUACGGGAAUGGUCGUUUGACUAGACGUACAUGGUUAGAGGACUCGUGCUCGACAAAAAAGAGGAAAUAUACUGAAGGUAAGUGUGGUGAAGGAAAUAAAGGUGCUGGGAGUUAAACGUAGCGUAGUUGGUUUUUGCAGAGAUUACUAAAUGGGUCGUUUGACUCGACAUACAUGGUUAGAGGACUCGUGCUCGACAAAAAAAGAGGAAAUAUACUGAAGGUUCGUGUUUGUCAAAUACCAAACUGAAGUGUUUACACUAGCAUAUUUUUAGUUAAUUACAUUUUUUAUUUAAUUUUUUAUUUGUGUAUCGUUCUCUCUUUGAGAUGGACAUGUAAGUGUGGUGAAGUGUGGUGAAGGAAAUAAAGGUGCUUAAAAGUUAAACAUAGCGCAGUUGGAGUUUGCAAAGGACCCAAUAUUUAUGCGUACAAGAUGCAAAACCAUGUUCAUAUCUGAAUAUUUAUAAAAGAUGCUUCUUUUUCUCUUAAAUGUCUUUAAGUAAUUGGUUUAGUGUGCUUGACAUUGUAACUGAUUUUUGCUACUGGAUUUUUUAGAGAUUACUAAAUGGGUUGUUUGACUAGACGUACAUGGUUAGAGGACUCGUGCUCGAUAAAAAAAGAGGAAAUAUACUGAAGGUUCGUGUUUGUCAAAUACCAAACUGAAGUGUUUACAGUAGCAUAUUUUAAGUUAAUCACAUUUUUUUAUUUUAUUUUUUAUUUGUGUAUCGUUCUCUCUUCGAGAUGGACAGGUAAGUGUGGUGAAGGAAAUAAAGGUGCUUAGAAGUUAAACGUCGCGCAGUUGGAAUUUGCAAAGGACAUAAUAUUUAUGUGUACAUGAUGCAAAACCAUGUUCAUAUCUGAAUAUUUAUAAAAGAUGCCUAUUUUUCUCUUAAAUGUCUUUAAAUAAUUGGUCCAGUGUGCUUGACAUUGUAACUGAUUUUUGCGAAGAUUUCAAAGUGUUAGUUAACAUCUCAUUUAUAUUAAUUAUUUUAGGUACUGCGUGAAAGCGACAAUCACCAGUGCAAUGGCUACGUAUGUCGUUUUCAACGAAGGCAUGACUGCUAUGCUUAAGCAUCAAUUGCGAUGAUAUGAUGAUUAAACGUGGCCACACAGAUCCACAGAAAUUGCCACAUCGGAUGGCCUCCAAAUUAGAUAUACCCAGUUAGCACGCUAAUCGUUCGAAUUAGCGGAAGAUGUAACAUGGCUUCCAACAAAAUGACUUUAACAACUAUUAAAUAACAGACGCCCAGGAGUACACAUUUCUAGAGGUGAAGUUGCAAAUGGUAAAGACAACGAUGCAUAAACUUUAUGGAGGUUUUCUUCAACAAUUAACUUUUUAGUUCUUUCAUUUCAAUGUUUAUGUCAGCACCGAUAAAUAAUAUCAUUUACUUUGAGUAGCAUAUUUGAGGAAAACGAUUAAGGUGGUUUCAAGGUUCAUAAACCAAGGACAAGACUGUAGGGGCUGCCGGGGUCGGCUACAAGUGUCAGUGAAUUAUGGUUCGUGACAAUUUGGGGGUUUCGGUCCAAACGAGCAUGUGGAAAUCUAGCCAAGUGUGUAAACACUUGAGGGAACCUGAUUUGGAGUUCGGCGAAGGGCGCAUAUGGUGAAGUGACCAAUGAAAGUCAAAGUUAGUACUCUUCCAAAGUAAUAAAAUGUGUUUUUAUAGAAAAGCGUUAUUAAAAGAACUAGCGCUGUGGCAAAAGUUGCGCCACUCGAACAUAGUGCAACUUAUUAUUCUUAAACAGUCGGGCAUGGCUUGCGGACAGUAAUGGAUAAAGAUGGAAAGUAAGGGUCUAGGUGAUUCAAGUAUCACUGUUGGAGCCAAGAUGGUAUAUGUGGUGGAUUUUGUUGAUUGAUGUUCGGGGCACAUUAACUCGGGUUGAGUGCUCGGUAAGGCUUUCCACUUUGUUGAAGAACCCAAAGGUGAAGUUAAUACUUCAAUUAUUUAUGAAGAUAAGGAAUAUGUUUGUUCUAUUUUGUAAUUUUUUAAAGGAACAUGCAUCUUGGUUGAUCUAUCAGAUAGAAUGAAUUGCAUUCUGAACACUUUUGAUCCCAUAUAAAUUCUUUUAAUGGAAAAUUGAGAUUUUGGGU